UUAAAUUGAAGAGUUUGAUCAUGGCUCAGAUUGAACGCUGGCGGCAGGCCUAACACAUGCAAGUCGAACGGUAACAGGAAACAGCUUGCUGUUUCGCUGACGAGUGGCGGACGGGUGAGUAAUGUCUGGGAAACUGCCUGAUGGAGGGGGAUAACUACUGGAAACGGUAGCUAAUACCGCAUAACGUCGCAAGACCAAAGAGGGGGACCUUCGGGCCUCUUGCCAUCGGAUGUGCCCAGAUGGGAUUAGCUAGUAGGUGGGGUAACGGCUCACCUAGGCGACGA
This 284-nucleotide ribosomal RNA is filed under the name Shigella sonnei. Its description in RNAcentral is "partial 16S ribosomal RNA". It matches the Rfam family "Bacterial small subunit ribosomal RNA", at positions 1 to 279 of the family's 1533-position model. Lineage: Bacteria; Pseudomonadati; Pseudomonadota; Gammaproteobacteria; Enterobacterales; Enterobacteriaceae. The record is from RNAcentral.